AAGCACUAGCUUAAAACCCAAAGGACCUGACGGUGUCUCAGAUCCAUCUAGAGGAGCCUGUUCUAAAACCGAUAACCCCCGUUUAACCUCACCACUCCUAGCCAUCACAGCCUAUAUACCGCCGUCGUCAGCUUACCCUGUGAAGGAAAAAAAGUAAGCAGAAUAGAUAUAAUCAAGAACGUCAGGUCGAGGUGUAGCGCAUGAAGUGGGAAGAAAUGGGCUACAUUUUCUAACACAGAAAACUACGAAUAUGCACCAUGAAACAGUGCUUAAAGGAGGAUUUAACAGUAAGAGGGAAAUAGAGUGUCCCCCUGAACCCGGCUCUGAGACGCGUACACA
Molecule: ribosomal RNA, 339 nt
Filed under: Pethia ticto (Ticto barb)
Lineage: Eukaryota; Metazoa; Chordata; Actinopteri; Cypriniformes; Cyprinidae
Description: partial small subunit ribosomal RNA
Rfam family: Bacterial small subunit ribosomal RNA
Source: RNAcentral